ACAAGCGGUGGAUGAUGUGGAUUAAUUCGAUGCAACGCGAAGAACCUUACCUACCCUUGACAUGUCCGGAACUUGCCAGAGAUGGCUUGGUGCCCGAAAGGGAAUCGGAACACAGGUGCUGCAUGGCUGUCGUCAGCUCGUGUCGUGAGAUGUUGGGUUAAGUCCCGCAACGAGCGCAACCCUUAUCAUUAGUUGCUACGCAAGGGCACUCUAAUGAGACUGCCGGUGACAAACCGGAGGAAGGUGGGGAUGACGUCAAGCCCUCAUGGCCCUUAUGGGUAGGGCUUCACACGUCAUACAAUGGUCGGUACAGAGGGUUGCCAAGCCGCGAGGCGGAGCCAAUCCCACAAAGCCGAUCGUAGUCCGGAUUGUUCUCUGCAACUCGAGAGCAUGGAGUCGGAAUCGCUAGUAAUCGCAGGUCAGCAUACUGCGGUGAAUACGUUCCCGGGUCUU
RNAcentral lists this ribosomal RNA (453 nucleotides) under uncultured Thiobacillus sp. RNAcentral's name for it is "bacterial SSU rRNA". It matches the Rfam family "Bacterial small subunit ribosomal RNA", at positions 925 to 1382 of the family's 1533-position model. The record is from RNAcentral. Lineage: Bacteria; Pseudomonadati; Pseudomonadota; Betaproteobacteria; Nitrosomonadales; Thiobacillaceae.